GAUGAACGCUGGCGGCGUGCCUAAUACAUGCAAGUCGAGCGAACAGACGAGGAGCUUGCUCCUCUGACGUUAGCGGCGGACGGGUGAGUAACACGUGGAUAACCUACCUAUAAGACUGGGAUAACUUCGGGAAACCGGAGCUAAUACCGGAUAAUAUAUUGAACCGCAUGGUUCAAUAGUGAAAGACGGUUUUGCUGUCACUUAUAGAUGGAUCCGCGCCGCAUCAGCUAGUUGGUAAGGUAACGGCUUACCAAGGCAACGAUGCGUAGCCGACCUGAGAGGGUGAUCGGCCACACUGGAACUGAGACACGGUCCAGACUCCUACGGGAGGCAGCAGUAGGGAAUCUUCCGCAAUGGGCGAAAGCCUGACGGAGCAACGCCGCGUGAGUGAUGAAGGUCUUCGGAUCGUAAAACUCUGUUAUUAGGGAAGAACAAAUGUGUAAGUAACUAUGCACGUCUUGACGGUACCUAAUCAGAAAGCCACGGCUAACUACGU
RNAcentral lists this ribosomal RNA (496 nucleotides) under uncultured bacterium. RNAcentral's name for it is "partial 16S ribosomal RNA". It matches the Rfam family "Bacterial small subunit ribosomal RNA", at positions 28 to 506 of the family's 1533-position model. The record is from RNAcentral.